Molecule: long non-coding RNA, 532 nt
Organism: Amphimedon queenslandica
Lineage: Eukaryota; Metazoa; Porifera; Demospongiae; Haplosclerida; Niphatidae
Exons: 5
Source: RefSeq, a predicted model, not a curated record
AGUUUGUUACUCAAUGUGUCACAGAAACUGUUGAGUUAUAUUCUCUGAAUGGAGUGUUGAAUCUGAUUCGUCGAUUAAGUUGUAGGGUCCCCAGUUAUGAAGCUUUGUUGCUCUUGAUUACAGAGUUUUGUAAUGACAUUGAUCCAAGACUUUGUAGAGAAGCAAUGAAAGCACUAGCCAUUACAAAUGCAGUUACAAAUAAUGGAAGAGGGUGUAUAUGUACUAAGGUGUGUGGCUUAUUGAAUGAUGAUGAUCAGUCUGUUUUGUACAUUUACAUGUACAUCAAGCUAAUUCAUUCAUUGGGACUCUCAUGGAAAGAAAGAUACUGUACAUAUAUACAGUAGAAUGACCUUAUACGUACAUGUGUACAUGCAUGUACAUUACCAUACCUUAUUCAAUGGACCCCAGUGUUACUCUAUUAUUAGAGGAUGCUGCAUUCAUAAAGACAUGCGGUAUGGUAACUGAUGGAUCCCUUCAGACUCUGGACCAGAAACGAAUCUUGCACCUUUGUUAUGUGAAGAGUGAUCAUGAU